Molecule: ribosomal RNA, 498 nt
Filed under: uncultured bacterium
Lineage: Bacteria
Description: partial 16S ribosomal RNA
Rfam family: Bacterial small subunit ribosomal RNA
Source: RNAcentral
GAUGAACGCUAGCGGCAGGCCUAAUACAUGCAAGUCGAGGGAGAAUGUUGGAUUCGUCUGACAUGAAACCGACGCACGGGUGCGUAACACGUAUGCAACCUACCUUUAACUGGGGUAUAGCUCAGAGAAAUCUGAAUUAAUCCCCCAUAAGACUACGACAUGGCAUCAUGAUGUAGUUAAAGCUCCGGCGGUUAAGGAUGGGCAUGCGGUACAUUAGCUAGUGGGUGAGGUAAUGGCUCACCAAGGCUACGAUGUAUAGGGGGUCUGAGAGGAUGAUCCCCCACACUGGUACUGAGACACGGACCAGACUCCUACGGGAGGCAGCAGUAGGGGAUAUUGGUCAAUGGACGCAAGUCUGAACCAGCCAUGCCGCGUGAAGGAUGAAGGCCCUAUGGGUCGUAAACUUCUUUUAUUAGGGAAGAAAAAACGGGAUGCGUCCUGUACUGACGGUACUUAAUGAAUGAGGAUCGGCUAACUUCGUGCCAGCAGCCGCAGUAA